AAGUAUCUUCGGAUAUGAGUAGAGCGGCGGACGGGUGAGUAACGCGUAGGAAUCUACCUAGUAGAAGGGGAUAGCCCGGGGAAACUCGGAUUAAUACCGUAUACCUCCUUCGGGAGAAAGAAGGCCUCUCUUUGAAGCUUUCGCUAUUAGAUGAGCCUGCGUAAGAUUAGCUUGUUGGUGAGGUAAAGGCUCACCAAGGCGACGAUCUUAGCGGGUCUGAGAGGACGAUCCGCCACAUUGGGACUGAGACACGGCCCAGACUCCUACGGGAGGCAGCAGUGGGGAAUAUUGGACAAUGGGCGCAAGCCUGAUCCAGCCAUACCGCGUGUGUGAAGAAGGCCCUAGGGUUGUAAAGCACUUUAAGUUGGGAAGAAAAGUUAUUGGUUAAUACCCAAUAACCGUGACAUUACCAUCAGAAUAAGGACCGGCUAAUUCCGUGCCAGCAGCCGCGGUAAUACGGAAGGUCCAAGCGUUAAUCGGAAUUACUGGGCGUAAAGCGCGCGUAGGUGGUUUAUUAAGUUGGAUGUGAAAUCCCCGGGCUCAACCUGGGAACUGCAUCCAAAACUGAUUCACUAGAGUACGAUAGAGGGAGGUAGAAUUCACAGUGUAGCGGUGGAAUGCGUAGAUAUUGUGAAGAAUACCAAUGGCGAAGGCAGCCUCCUGGAUCUGUACUGACACUGAGGUGCGAAAGCGUGGGUAGCGAACAGGAUUAGAUACCCUGGUAGUCCACGCCGUAAACGAUGUCAACUAGCUGUUGGAGAACUAUGUUCUUCAGUGGCGCAGCUAACGUAGUAAGUUGACCGCCUGGGGGAGUACGGCCGCAAGGCUAAAACUCAAAUGAAUUGACGGGGACCCGCACAAGCGGUGGAGCAUGUGGUUUAAUUCGAUGCAACGCGAAAAACCUUACCUAUACUUGACAUACUUGGAAUGCUUUGUAAUGAAGCAGUGCCUUCGGGAGCCAAGAUACAGGUGCUGCAUGGCUGUCGUCAGCUCGUG
RNAcentral lists this ribosomal RNA (996 nucleotides) under uncultured marine bacterium. Its description in RNAcentral is "bacterial SSU rRNA". It matches the Rfam family "Bacterial small subunit ribosomal RNA", at positions 72 to 1064 of the family's 1533-position model. The record is from RNAcentral.